RNAcentral lists this ribosomal RNA (693 nucleotides) under uncultured archaeon. Its description in RNAcentral is "bacterial SSU rRNA". It matches the Rfam family "Archaeal small subunit ribosomal RNA", at positions 321 to 1015 of the family's 1478-position model. The record is from RNAcentral.
CCCUAUGGGGUGCAGCAGGCGAGAAAACUUUGCAAUGUGCGAAAGCACGACAAGGUUAAUCCGAGUGGUUUGUGCUAAACGAACCUUUUGACAGUCCUAGAAACACUGUUGAAUAAGGGGUGGGCAAGUUCUGGUGUCAGCCGCCGCGGUAAAACCAGCACCUCAAGUGGUCAGGAUGAUUAUUGGGCCUAAAGCAUCCGUAGCCGGCUCUAUAAGUUUUCGGUUAAAUCUGUACGCUCAACGUACAGGCUGCCGGGAAUACUGCAGAGCUAGGGAGUGGGAGAGGUAGACGGUCCUCGGUAGGAAGGGGUAAAAUCCUUUGAUCUAUUGAUGACCACCUGUGGCGAAGGCGGUCUACCAGAACACGUCCGACGGUGAGGGAUGAAAGCUGGGGGAGCAAACCGGAUUAGAUACCCGGGUAGUCCCAGCUGUAAACUAUGCAAACUCAGUGAUGCAUUGGCUUGUGGCCAAUGCAGUGCUGCAGGGAAGCCGUUAAGUUUGCCGCCUGGGAAGUACGUACGCAAGUAUGAAACUUAAAGGAAUUGGCGGGGGAGCACCACAAGGGGUGAAGCCUGCGGUUCAAUUGGAGUCCACGCCAGAAAUCUUACCCGGAGAGACACCAGAAUGAAAGUCAAGCUGAAGACUUUACCAUACAAGCUGAAAAGUAGUGCAUGGCAAUCACAACUGAAUUCU